Molecule: long non-coding RNA, 824 nt
Organism: Limulus polyphemus (Atlantic horseshoe crab)
Lineage: Eukaryota; Metazoa; Arthropoda; Merostomata; Xiphosura; Limulidae
Exons: 4
Source: RefSeq, a predicted model, not a curated record
CAUCACCUCUCUCGUAGACAGUGUAAAUAGAAAUAUGGACACGUUUUUUCAAGACAUCGAUUCCUGUUGUAUUAAUCGUGACGUCUUUUGCGUGAAUGGUUUGUCGUAGAAAGUUAGUUACGUCAUCAAAACAUGGAAACCUUAACUGGAAUUGACGUACAAUUUUAUAGUCCUGAAUGGUUCGUCAUUAAACGGCUCUUUAUCAAGACACACACAAAAAAAAACCCUACUUAAUCGUAACUAGAUUAUCACGAUUGUUGACGUUAUUGCCAGCACUACUGAUAGUCAGUGUAUACAAGUCAGGAAAAAAAAUCGUCGCAAUACGGACAGGCUCCCGUAUUUAGUUACACACUUGUGUCCAAAAUGAACAGACAGAGGCUGAAUGUUAUCCACUGGGUCCUCUUUCCUAGUCUGAUUAUGAAUUCAAGGCUGUUGGAUCUCAUCGACUGAGCUAUGCCAAGCAUUGUCUCUGCAGAUUAGUGACACUUCUGGACCAUUCCGGCUAAUAUUACUAGUUCUUGUAGUCACUCUGAGAAUUUACACAGAAAGAUACAAGAAAAACAUUGGCUUUCUGCUUCAUACUUCAGUGGAUUUUCAUCACAACAUUGCCUAAUGCAGAACAAGCUGACAGCCCAGACGGAGGAGAUAAAAGAAAGAAAAGAUGAGAUUGAUGCCUUAAAGGAACAAAUUGACAAGAUCAACCAGUUAUUUAAUGACACCAAGAAUGAGCUACAGACCAAAACCUCAGAACUGGAAGAAAAGUCCCAAGCUUUGGUCAAGACCACAAACGUACUCCAACAUACUCACAAGGUAAAGCCAAAAUA